AACGCACCUUGCGCUCCUUGGUAUUCCGAGGAGCAUGCCUGUUUGAGUGUCAUAUAAUUCUCAACCUUAUUAGCUUUUGCUGAUUAAUGGCUUGGAUGUGGGGGUUCUCUUUUGCCGGCUUCUUCAGAGGUCAGCUCCCCUUAAAUGCAUUAGCUGGUGCCCCGCGUGGACUGUCUAUUUGGUGUGAUAAUUAUCUACGCCGUGGAUGUCUGCAAUGGGUUGUGCACUGCUUAUAACUGUCCGUUCAUAUGGACAAUACAUGACAAUUUGACCUCAAAUCAGGUAGGACUACCCGCUGAACUUAA
This 305-nucleotide unclassified non-coding RNA is filed under the name uncultured Hymenogaster. RNAcentral describes it as "sequence contains ITS2". The stretch from base 1 to 52 matches the Rfam family "5.8S ribosomal RNA", at positions 103 to 154 of the family's 154-position model. The record is from RNAcentral. Lineage: Eukaryota; Fungi; Basidiomycota; Agaricomycetes; Agaricales; Hymenogastraceae.